UCUGUGUGACUGUGUCCUCAUCCCUAAGGUCCCCUGUGUGACCGUGUCCUCGUCCCCGAGGUCCCCUCUGUGACCGUGUCCUCAUCCCCGAGGUCCCCUGUGUGACCGUGUCCUCAUCCCCGAGGUCCC
This 129-nucleotide long non-coding RNA is filed under the name Oryctolagus cuniculus (rabbit). RNAcentral's name for it is "lncRNA (ENSOCUG00000032520.1)". The record is from RNAcentral. Lineage: Eukaryota; Metazoa; Chordata; Mammalia; Lagomorpha; Leporidae.